RNAcentral lists this ribosomal RNA (253 nucleotides) under uncultured bacterium. RNAcentral describes it as "partial 16S ribosomal RNA". It matches the Rfam family "Bacterial small subunit ribosomal RNA", at positions 524 to 776 of the family's 1533-position model. The record is from RNAcentral.
UACGAAGGGGGCUAGCGUUGCUCGGAAUCACUGGGCGUAAAGCGUGUGUAGGCGGUCUCAUAAGUCGGGUGUGAAAGCCCAGGGCUCAACCCUGGAAGUGCACUCGAAACUGCGAGGCUUGAGUACCGGAGAGGUUGGUGGAAUUCUCGGUGUAGAGGUGAAAUUCGUAGAUAUCGAGAGGAACACCGGUGGCGAAGGCGGCCAACUGGACGAGUACUGACGCUGAGACACGAAAGCGUGGGGAGCAAACAGG